This 91-nucleotide microRNA precursor is filed under the name Canis lupus familiaris (dog). RNAcentral describes it as "mir-8799 microRNA precursor family". It matches the Rfam family "mir-8799 microRNA precursor family". Lineage: Eukaryota; Metazoa; Chordata; Mammalia; Carnivora; Canidae. The record is from Rfam by way of RNAcentral. RNAcentral also lists the same sequence under 1 other name.
AGCGGGAGGUUCAGAUCCUGGGCUGUGUCACCGGCGCUCUGUGCUCCCGGCCUGUGUUGUUGGAUUUGAGCUCCCGGCAGCGCAGCUCCCU